CUACGGGUUGCAGCAGUGGGGAAUAUUGCACAAUGGGCGCAAGCCUGAUGCAGCCAUGCCGCGUGUAUGAAGAAGGCCUUCGGGUUGUAAAGUACUUUCAGCGGGGAGGAAGGGAGUAAAGUUAAUACCUUUGCUCAUUGACGUUACCCGCAGAAGAAGCACCGGCUAACUCCGUGCCAGCAGCCGCGGUAAUACGGAGGGUGCAAGCGUUAAUCGGAAUUACUGGGCGUAAAGCGCACGCAGGCGGUUUGUUAAGUCAGAUGUGAAAUCCCCGGGCUCAACCUGGGAACUGCAUCUGAGACUGGUAAGCUUGAGUGUGGUAGAGGGGGGUAGAAUUCCAGGUGUAGCGGUGAAAUGCGUAGAGAUCUGGAGGAAUACCGGUGGCGAAGGCGGCCCCCUGGACGAAGACUGACGCUCAGGUGCGAAAGCGUGGGGAGCAAACAGGAUUAGAUACCCCCGUAGUC
RNAcentral lists this ribosomal RNA (464 nucleotides) under uncultured bacterium. RNAcentral describes it as "partial 16S ribosomal RNA". It matches the Rfam family "Bacterial small subunit ribosomal RNA", at positions 339 to 795 of the family's 1533-position model. The record is from RNAcentral.